CAACAAAGUGUUGGUGUGGCGGUAGAGCUCUUGUACCCCCUUGCGGGAGGUCGGGAGUUCGACUCCCCACGUGUGCGUGUGUAAUCAAUUAGCAAAAAAAAAAAAAAGAAACUGAUUUGAUUGUUCCAGUAUUAGCUGCUGUUGGAUGUGACUAUAAUUUUACUUUCUGCCCCUAGAAAUUCUAAUAUUUCUUGACGGUAAAGAGACAACCAAACAAGGUUCAGAUUCGGGGCAUUUUCUGUUUUCCAGAAAUUCCUCUGAUCAAAGUAUUGAAUAUUGACUGCCAAUUAGCAAUGAACGGC
RNAcentral lists this long non-coding RNA (302 nucleotides) under Daucus carota (carrot). Its description in RNAcentral is "long non-coding RNA (DCAR_LNC001218)". Lineage: Eukaryota; Viridiplantae; Streptophyta; Magnoliopsida; Apiales; Apiaceae. The record is from RNAcentral.